RNAcentral lists this ribosomal RNA (1021 nucleotides) under uncultured bacterium. RNAcentral describes it as "bacterial SSU rRNA". It matches the Rfam family "Bacterial small subunit ribosomal RNA", at positions 10 to 1064 of the family's 1533-position model. The record is from RNAcentral.
AGUUUGAUCCUGGCUCAGGAUGAACGCUGGCGGCGUGCCUAAUACAUGCAAGUCGAGCGGUAAGGCCCCUUCGGGGGUACACGAGCGGCGGACGGCUGAGUAACGCGUAGGAACAUACCCCAAAGUGAGGGAUAAGCAUCAGAAAUGGUGUCUAAUACCGCAUGUGCUCUAAGGAGUAAAGCUUUAUGCGCUUUGGGAAUGGCCUGCGUAAGAUUAGCUUGUUGGUGAGGUAAUGGCUCACCAAGGCGACGAUCUUUAGCUGGUCUGAGAGGAUGAUCAGCCAGACUGGGACUGAGACACGGCCCAGACUCCUACGGGAGGCAGCAGUAGGGAAUUUUCCACAAUGGGCGAAAGCCUGAUGGAGCAACGCCGCGUGCAGGAUGAAGGCCCUUGGGUCGUAAACUGCUUUUAUAGGUGAAGAUUAUGACGGUAACCUAUGAAUAAGGAUCGGCUAACUCCGUGCCAGCAGCCGCGGUCAUACGGAGGAUCCAAGCGUUAUCCGGAAUUACUGGGCGUAAAGAGUUGCGUAGGUGGCAUAGCAAGUAGGGCGUGAAAGCGUAUGGCUCAACCAUAUAAACAUGUCCUAAACUGCUAAGCUAGAAUAUAGAAGAGGUAGCUGGAAUUCCUUGUGUAGGAGUGAAAUCCGUAGAUAUAAGGAGGAACACCGAUGGCGUAGGCAGGCUACUGGUCUAUUAUUGACACUAAGGCACGAAAGCGUGGGUAGCAAACGGGAUUAGAUGCCCCGGUAGUCCACGCUGUAAACUAUGGAUGCUAGCUGUUACCAGUAUCGACCCUGGUAGUAGCGAAGCUAACGCGUUAAGCAUCCCGCCUGUGGAGUACGAGCGCAAGCUUAAAACAUAAAGGAAUUGACGGGGACCCGCACAAGCGGUGGAGCGUGUUGUUUAAUUCGAUGGUAAGCGAAGAACCUUACCCAGGUUUGACAUCCCGAGAAGUUUGCCGAAAGGCGAAUGUGCUUUAUUGAACUCGGUGACAGGUGUUGCAUGGCUGUCGUCAGCUCGUG